This is a long non-coding RNA of Cyanistes caeruleus (blue tit), 604 nucleotides long. RefSeq lists it as uncharacterized. Lineage: Eukaryota; Metazoa; Chordata; Aves; Passeriformes; Paridae. The record is from RefSeq and is a predicted model, not a curated record.
CUGAGGCAGAGGUAGCAUUUACACUGCCAAGAAAAGAGACAGCAAAAGAAGGAUUGAAAAAUUUAGUACUGUCCACCCACUCAUUUUUUAAUCUGCGGCCAAUUUCAACCGAAUUUGAUGGAGAAGUAGAGGUUUCAAUGACACUGUGCUGCUACAAAUGCUAUAAAAAUAGACUGAGAAGAAUUCAGGUCAGUGCUACCACUGAAGGAAAAGCAAAUGUUGUAGUACAGGAAAGAAGGAUCACCAUGUCUGAAGAGAGGACACAGGUCAAAAUUUGAUGUAAAGUAGGUUUCAUUAUUUACAUUACUGGAACACCUUCUAUUGUUUACUAAUGGCAACCCACCAACCCGUAAGUCAUUUUGAUCAGCAAUCAGCUUCAUUGCACUGAAGUUCACUGCCAGAACUAUGCACAUGGAUUUAUUCAUUCCUGAUUUAUCAAAAUUUAAAUUAACCAAACACUAAUAAAAUGUCAAUGUUUUCAGGAAGGUUAGAUUCUUGGGGUUUUUCAGUAAGGAAACCACUCUAAUAAUUUCUUCAUUUUAAAAUGAUAAACAAGAGUUAAAAACUAAAUAGACUCAUGUAAGUGAAAAACAAAACAGCAAAU